GACGAACGCUGGCGGCGUGCUUAACACAUGCAAGUCGAACGGAAAGGCCCUGCUUUUGUUUGGUUCUCGAUUGGCGAACGGGUGAGUAACACGUGAGUAACCUGCCCUUGACUUUGGGAUAACUUCAGGAAACUGGGGCUAAUACCGGAUAGGAGCUCCUGCUGCAUGGUGGGGGUUGGAAGAUUUCGGCGGUUGUGUAUGGACUCGCGGCUUAUCAGCUUGUUUGUGGGGUAGUGGCUUACCAAGGCUUUGACGGGUAGCCGGCCUGAGAGGGUGACCGGCCACAUUGGGCCUGCGAUACGGAGCAGACUCCUACGGGAGGCAGCAGUGGGGAAUAUUGCACAAUGGGCGGAAGCCUGAUGCAGCAACGCUGCGUGCGGGAUGCCGGCCUUCGGGUUGUAAACAGCUUUCGACUGUGACGAAGAGUGAGUGACGGUAAUGGGUAAAGAAGCAACGGCUAACUACGUG
RNAcentral lists this ribosomal RNA (468 nucleotides) under uncultured bacterium. RNAcentral describes it as "partial 16S ribosomal RNA". It matches the Rfam family "Bacterial small subunit ribosomal RNA", at positions 28 to 507 of the family's 1533-position model. The record is from RNAcentral.